CGGAGGAUCCAAGCGUUAUCCGGAAUCAUUGGGUUUAAAGGGUCCGUAGGCGGGUUUAUAAGUCAGUGGUGAAAGCCCAUCGCUCAACGAUGGAACGGCCAUUGAUACUGUAGAUCUUGAAUUAUUAGGAAGUAACUAGAAUAUGUAGUGUAGCGGUGAAAUGCUUAGAGAUUACGUGGAAUACCAAUUGCGAAGGCAGGUUACUACUAAUGGAUUGACGCUGAUGGACGAAAGCGUGGGUAGCGAACAGGAUUAGAUACCCUGGUAGUCCACGCCGUAAACGAUGGAUACUAGCUGUUCGGAGCAAUCUGAGUGGCUAAGCGAAAGUGAUAAGUAUCCCACCUGGGGAGUACGUUCGCAAGAAUG
RNAcentral lists this ribosomal RNA (366 nucleotides) under uncultured organism. Its description in RNAcentral is "bacterial SSU rRNA". It matches the Rfam family "Bacterial small subunit ribosomal RNA", at positions 526 to 896 of the family's 1533-position model. The record is from RNAcentral.